Molecule: long non-coding RNA, 574 nt
Filed under: Homo sapiens (human)
Lineage: Eukaryota; Metazoa; Chordata; Mammalia; Primates; Hominidae
Description: small nucleolar RNA host gene 29
Source: RNAcentral
AGGCGCCCUGGAACUCCCCGCGCGUGUUGUGACCCAGAAUUCCCGGGGCUGUGGAAGAGACCAUAGACUCAACAGGAGGGGGAGUCCUGGGUAGCGCGCCGGUCUAAAUCGUUACUUGGCGGAAAGUUCCCAUGAGUCUUUGCCAGCGUCCCCCUCCUUUUGUGAGGAUUGGGAUAUUCCGACUCCUUAAGGGCCUGGCGCACAUAAGGGCCACAUCUGCCAGAGCCUGGAGUCUGCGAAGGCCGGGACCCGGUUCCCCGGCCCACAGUGGGGGUGUGCAAACCCGAGAGAACUGGGUUGCAAAUUCGUGAAGAAUCAGCAUCAUGUUUGGCAGCUGAGUAUUGGAGCCAGGAGCCUGCCAUGAGGUUUUGAGAACAGAGUGCUGUUUUAGAGCUGGCAGCAGCAUCUCAGCCCAAGAGAAGGCAUGACUCCACAGUUUCUGCAACAACAGAGCCGGGGAAAGGAGGACGCAGCAAGCGCUGAAUAUUAACCAGCAAAGGUAGAUGCUUCAAUAUCGAAACCACCGGGACCCGCAUGUGCAAAGCUACUUAAUGAGGGUGUAAUCAAACACAGU